CCCCAGUUUCAGUUCCAAGUUUCAGUAGAUUUCGGGACAUCGUGCGGAUCGAACGUCUGGCGCUGCGUUCACGCGACUCGACUCGUACGCUGCAGGGAACCAGUUACCAGUGACCAGUAAACAGUGACCGGUGAACACAGUGACUAGUGAAACAGACAGUGAACGAGUAACAGCCCGAGAAUUGUUGCAUUUACGGCGGAAUCGCAUGGAUAUUGAAAAAGAAGAAGAUUUGAAGAAGAUGCGAGGACUCGACUCCUGACAGAAUGCAGACCUAGAUUCCCAGUCCAGAUCCGCAGAUUCGCACAUUCGCAGACUCGCAGAUCCGCAGAUACGAGUCCUCGGGCAGGACAAAGGCC
Molecule: long non-coding RNA, 356 nt
Organism: Drosophila erecta
Lineage: Eukaryota; Metazoa; Arthropoda; Insecta; Diptera; Drosophilidae
Exons: 2
Source: RefSeq, a predicted model, not a curated record